GACGAACGCUGGCGGCGUGCCUAAUACAUGCAAGUUGAGCGAUGAAGAUUGGUGCUUGCACCAAUUUGAAGAGCAGCGAACGGGUGAGUAACGCGUGGGGAAUCUGCCUUUGAGCGGGGGACAACAUUUGGAAACGAAUGCUAAUACCGCAUAACAACUUUAAACAUAAGUUUUAAGUUUGAAAGAUGCAAUUGCAUCACUCAAAGAUGAUCCCGCGUUGUAUUAGCUAGUUGGUGAGGUAAAGGCUCACCAAGGCGAUGAUACAUAGCCGACCUGAGAGGGUGAUCGGCCACAUUGGGACUGAGACACGGCCCAAACUCCUACGGGAGGCAGCAGUAGGGAAUCUUCGGCAAUGGACGAAAGUCUGACCGAGCAACGCCGCGUGAGUGAAGAAGGGUUUCGGAUCGUAAAACUCUGUUGGUAGAGAAGAACGUUGGUGGGAGUGAAAAGCUCAUCAAGUGACGGUAACUACCCAGAAAGGGACGGCUAACUACGUG
RNAcentral lists this ribosomal RNA (497 nucleotides) under uncultured bacterium. RNAcentral's name for it is "partial 16S ribosomal RNA". It matches the Rfam family "Bacterial small subunit ribosomal RNA", at positions 28 to 507 of the family's 1533-position model. The record is from RNAcentral.